GUGCCAGCCGGCGCGGUAAUACCGGCAGCUCAAGUGAUGUCCCAUAUUAUUGGGCCUAAAGCGUCCGUAGCUGGCCGACCAAGUCUCCCGGGAAAUCCACCCGCCCAACGGGUGGGCGUCCGGUAGAAACUGUGCGGCUUGGGACCGGAAGGCGCGACGGGUACGUCCGGGGUAGGAGUGAAAUCCCGUAAUCCUGGACGGACCGCCGAUGGCGAAAGCACGUCGCGAGAACGGAUCCGACAGUGAGGGACGAAAGCCAGGGUCUCGAACCGGAUUAGAAACCCCAGUAGUCC
This 293-nucleotide ribosomal RNA is filed under the name uncultured bacterium. RNAcentral's name for it is "partial 16S ribosomal RNA". It matches the Rfam family "Archaeal small subunit ribosomal RNA", at positions 455 to 747 of the family's 1478-position model. The record is from RNAcentral.